This 2128-nucleotide long non-coding RNA is filed under the name Coffea arabica (coffee). RNAcentral describes it as "long non-coding RNA (CARA_LNC007399)". Lineage: Eukaryota; Viridiplantae; Streptophyta; Magnoliopsida; Gentianales; Rubiaceae. The record is from RNAcentral.
GGGGGAUGUCAGCGGAGGUUUUGGUAAAGGAAAAACAGCAGAAAAAAAGGGGGCAGAGCAGGCGGCUGGGUUUUGGGGGAAGAAAAAAAGAAAAACAGAAAAAAAAGAGGAGAGAGCAGCAUCUGGGUUUGGGGAUAGGAGCUAAACAGAGCAAAAAAAAAAAAAACAGAGGGGAGAGCUAAGUGGAAAAAAAAUAGGGAGCUGGGGCCUGAAAAAGAAAAAACCAGAAAGAGGAGCUGAAAAAUAGAGGCGGAGAAGGCAAAUUUGAGGAGGCGAGAUCUGAGAGUGAAAAGGGAAGGAGCAAGAGAAGAGAAAAAACGCAAGGGAAAGCUGGAGUUUUGGGGCUUCAGGUUAAAUCGAAAACAGAGAGUAGGAAGCAAAAGACGGCUGGAGUUUUGAGGCUAAGAGGGAAGAAAUCUGGGCAGAGGAUGGACAAGGAAGCAACAAGGGAAGAGCCGAGAAAGAUUGGGGGUUGAAAAAGGAAGGAAAAACAGAAAAAAGAAAUUCGGCAGGCAGCAACAAAAGGGAAAGCUACGGAUGAAAAGAAAGGGGGGGGGAAUUGGAGAAAAUAGCCAUAGAGCAAGUUUGAUGGCUAGAGAAUAGCCGAAGAAAAACCAGAGAGGGGCGAGACUUUUAGGGGGAAAAGGAAUAGGGAGCUCCGUCGGCAAGAAAAAAAAAAGAAAAAAAAAGGGAAAAGGGGAAGCGGACAUAAAAAAACAGGGGAGGCUUAUGGCGAGAGGAGAGAACUAGAGAGGGGCGGCUAAGGUUUCUGGGGCAAGAGGAGCUUGGCUGAAAAAAGGAAAAAGAAAAGCAGUAGGCAUUGUCGGCUGGGGGGGAAGAAGAAAGCUAAAAAAAAAAGCAAAGAAAAAUUAAGAGGAAAAGAGGAAUUGAAUGAGGCUUACGGCAGAGUUGGGGGAAAAGAAAAAUCAAAGGGGCGACGGGCAAGAAAAACGCGAGAGAGCUAGAGGAAGAAAUGGCUAGAAAGGGAAGAAAAACAGAGGGUAGGCUGAGUGAGAGGAAGGAGAUGACUGAGAAAGGUCUUUGGCCAAAAGGAAUAGAAAAGAAAAAAAAACAGAGGAAAGGCCACGGUUGCAAACGGAAGCAGAGGAAGAAAGUUUCGGCAAAAUGAAGGAUGAAUUCAGAAAGCUGGAACCGCCUCCGCUCAUCGUCAUCACCACUUCACCGAAUCCGACAUCAUCGCUGGCAGAUUUUCGCCAAGAAGGAAAAUUGUAAGUCGUAUUCCCGCUUCAAAUUUCAGUUUUCUAGUCAAGCAUAAGCACGGGAAAAUCUAAAGGCACGUUCUUUGUGAAACUGAUUCAUUGCAAUUUCCUAGUGAUUUCCCAUAUUUCUUUUUGACCGCAUAUGCCUUAUGUGUUAAAUUGGAUUGAAUUUCCUUGGUUUGCUGACAAUCUUGGGGCUGAUUAUAACCUCAAUUGAGCAGAGAUUUGCUAAAAUUUUUGGUGCCCAAUAGCUGUUCGAUGAAAUGCUCAAAUGAAACUCGUGUUUUCCCCUUUAUUUUUCCUGCUUCAUUUUGUGCAAAAGUUUGCUUCUACGUCUGUGAGUUGGAUAGUCAAGCUGAUGCUUGGUAGUCCCGUUCAAAGGCUGUACAAUCUUGUAUGCUUGAACCAAAAUUUGGAAACAAAGUUUGAUGUGUGAAUGAAUUUUCAAAUGGUGAUGCUAAGCAUGUUAGUGGCCAUGAUGAGUCGGAACCAGAUUUGCUAAGUUGAAACUCAAGGCCGCUGAUAUGCAUUAAUAUUGUGUUUAAUUUGGUUGAAACUAAAGGUUCACGGUUGCUGUUUUCUUGUAUAUUCUUUAUCCAAUGAUGGGUUCCUUUUCCUUGAAUUUUAUAGCUUAGUUGAGUUUCUUUUCAGUCACUACGUUGGGAAUUGGGUUCAUGGUAUGGUCAGUUUUUUGUUCAACUCAUGCAAUGCCUACCAUUGGUGAAUUCCGACAUGUGGUAUACUUUCAAAUGGGCUGCCCGUUCUUAUUUUUAGAACUCCCUGUACAGACAUUAGAAGUUGUGGAUGAUUUUCCUAGCAGCUUGUUGCUUCAUGGUCCAGGUUUUGGGACGUUGUCAUUGAAUGUUUUGGUGUUUGAGCAAAGAUUAAGCAUUUCUUCUGUUCUUCUU